GAGGAGAUGAUUGGUUACAUGUUUUAUCCUCUUUUGUAGGCUUCUGCCAAUUCAAUAAGUUUCAAGAGUUAGAUCUUUCUUACAACUUAUUCCAAGGGAUCCUUCCUCCAUGUUUGAAUAAUUUGACAUCUCUGAGGUUAUUGGAUCUCUCUUCCAACCUAUUCUCCGGAAAUCUUUCUUCCCCUUUGUUACCUAAUCUCACAUCCCUGGAGUACAUCGAUCUCAGUUACAAUCAGUUUGAGGGUUCAUUCUCUUUCAGCUCUUUUGCUAAUCACUCCAAGCUUCAAGUGGUCAUACUUGGAAGGGAUAACAACAAAUUUGAGGUACAAACCGAAUAUCCAGUUGGUUGGGUUCCCCUGUUUCUGUUGAAAGCUCUUGUCCUAUCCAACUGUAAGCUCAUCGGUGAUCCUGGUUUCCUUCGACACCAAUUAAGAUUAACCGUGGUUGAUCUCUCCCAUAAUAAUUAGUCUGGAAGUUUCCCCAUUUGGCUGCUUGAUAACAAUACAAGACUAGGAUCUCUAGUUCUGAGGAAUAACUCUUUAAUGGGUCAACUACUUCCCCUGAGACCUAAUAGUCGUAUCACUUUAUUGGAUAUCUCAGACAACCGAGUUCAUGGGGAACUUCAACAAAAUGUGGCCAACAUGAUUCCAAAUAUUGAGUUUCUAAAUUUAUCCAACAAUGGUUUUGAAGGUAUUCUCCCAUCCUCGAUAGCCGAAAUGAGUUCCUUACAGUCAUUAGAUUUGUCUGCUAAUAGUUUCUCAGCGGAAGUACCAAAACAAUCGCUUGCUGCAAAAUAUUUGUGGCUUCUGAAAUUAUCAAAUUAUAAAUUUCAUGGUGAAAUAUUUUCAAGGGACUUUAACUUGACUCAGUUAGGGUUUUUGCAUUUGGACAAUAAUCAGUUCCAGGGACCACUGUCAAAUGUAAUCUCCAGAAUCUCUAGGUUAUGGGUGUUGGAUAGGUAACAUGACCGAUUUGACUACACUGGUGUUGGGCAACAAUAGUUUUAAAGGCAAAUUACCACCUGAGAUUUCUCAAUUGUUGGGGAUGAUAUUUCUUGACGUUUCUCAAAACGCUCUUUCAGGAUCUCUUCCUUCUUUGAAGAGCCUGGAGUAUUUAGAGCAUCUACAUUUGCAAGGGAAAAUGUUUACAGGAUUGAUACCUAGAGAUUUUCUCAAUUCCUCAUAUCUAUUGACUUUGGAUAUCAGAGACAACAGGUUAUUUGGAAGUAUUCCCAAUUCAAUCUCUAGACUUUUAGAGCUAAGAGGAAACCUUUUAAGUGGUUUCAUUCCAUAUCAGCUUUGUCAUUUGACUAAAAUAAGCUUGAUGGAUCUUUCAAACAACAAUUUUUCUGGGUCAAUUCCCAGAUGCUUUGGUCAUGUCGGAUUUGGAGAUUUCAAAACUGAGCACAAUGUGUAUAUACUUAUGUUAGAUUCGUAUUCAGAAAGCAAUCCUUCUAUAUAUACGGGUUACUUAAUAAAAUAUUUAUUUUUCUCUACUGAACUCCCUGAUGAAGUAGAUGAAGUUGAGUUUGUUACCAAGAAUAGGUAUAGCUCCUACAGAGUAGAUAAAAAUAUUUGUUGGGAAUUUAGAUAUUUUUAUAGGACAAUAUACAAGUAUUCUAAUUUAUAAAAACAAUGCAUUUCUUUAGUUUGGUAUAAAAAAAAUGAAACGAUAGGUAUUGGUAAUUUUUUUUAAAGUAACAAACGUUUUAUUUUAUUUGUAUUUAAGAACAAUGUUUUUUCUUAUACUAGUUAUUUUCAUUUUCUUUUGACAGAUUUUGCAAGCUUAAGCAAUUUGGAGAUACUAGAUUUGAGUUAUAAUUCCUUAAGUGGGAUUAUUCCAUUAUCUAUAAGAUUGAUGCCUCAUCUCAAGUCUUUAUCCUUGGUCGGAAAUCACCUCAAUGGUUCUUUACAAAAUCAAGGUACAUAUGUUAUGAUUUGUUUGUUUCAUAUAGAUUAGAGAAGAUAAAUAUUGUAAAAAAAAAAAAAAGUUGUAGUUAAUGUAAGCUUGAAAUAAGUAUCUUGCCUUAUAAAUUAUAUAAGCAUGUGUUUGUUCUUAAUGAAUCUUUACAACAUUUAGAGUUACCAAUGUUUAUAAUUCAUAAAGACCUCAUUAACGGUGAAUAACAACUAAUUGUAAGUAAUUGUGGAAAUAGUAAGGAAAACAAAAUGAGGGAAAAGCAAGGAAUUAGGAAAUUAUUUUGUUCCCAUAAAAAAAAUGCUAAGGAAGAAAAAGGUAAAAGAAAGUUUUAAAAAAGUGUAUUUUUAAAAAAUUUAUUUCUCUUUCCUUUAAUUUUGCUAUGGACAACCAAACAAGAAAAUCAUUUUAUAAUUCCUUUUUAUUUUUUUCGUUCUCUCUCUCUUUUUUUCCCUACUCUAUUUCUUUUCCCUCAAACUUUCUUGGUAGUAAACACAACCUAAGAUAAAUGGGGAAGAAAAUUUUCAGUUUUUUUUUUAUUUUUUUAGAAUGUUUUCUUACUUUUUAGUAUUUUAUGCAAAUAUAGGAAAAUUAUUUUCUUUUUUCUUUUUUUUUCUUGCUCCUUUUCAAACAUGAAUCACACUUUAAAAGAAAAUUAAUUUUUAAUUAGGAGUUAAGAUAAAUUUAAGGAGAAACAAUGAAUCACAGACAACAAAAAAUUAAGGAAAUUGAAUUUUUGAAAGUAAGUAUAAUCAAAUUGCUUCUUUUGAUACAAAAUUUGAAUAAAAAUUCUUUCAAUGAAAAUUCAAGGAAAGGAAAAAACAUUUUUGUCUCUAGAUUAUAAUACUAAAUUAUGUAAAAAAUCUCCUAGCAUCAUUUAUAUUCAUAUUUCUUUUUAUAGAUUUGAAAAAUUCAACAAUUUGGAAUAAACUUAUUCAAUGAAGAAUAAUUUUUAGAUUUAAAGAUUAUUAUUUAAGAUCAUAAAUAUUACCAUCAUUGUUGAUGUCUAAGAAGAUCAUAUUCAACAAUUUUUUUAAUAUGUUGUUUUUUUAUGGUAAUUAAUUGAUGUCUUGUAAUUUUUAAUAUUUAAUGAAAAACAUUAUUUUAAUUCAUCUAGAGCUCUUAAUUCAUGAAGACCUCAUUAAUGGUAAGUAAUAGCUGAAUGUAAGUUUGGAGUCAAAGACAUGUCAAGGAGAUGAUUAGUUACAUGUCUUAUUCUCUUUUGUAGGUUUCUGCCAAUUGAAUAAGCUUCAAGAGUUAGAUCUUUCUUACAACUUAUUCCAAGGGAUCCUUCCUCCAUGUUUGAAUAAUUUGACAUCUCUGAGGUUAUUGGAUCUCUCUGCCAACCUAUUCUCCGGAAAUCUUUCUUCCCCUUUAUUACCUAAUCUCACAUCCCUGGAGUACAUCGAUCUCAGUUACAAUCAGUUUGAGGGUUCAUUCUCUUUCAGCUCUUUUGCUAAUCACUCCAAGCUUCAAGUGGU
Molecule: long non-coding RNA, 3398 nt
Filed under: Vitis vinifera (wine grape)
Lineage: Eukaryota; Viridiplantae; Streptophyta; Magnoliopsida; Vitales; Vitaceae
Description: long non-coding RNA (VVIN_LNC002841)
Source: RNAcentral